This 1586-nucleotide long non-coding RNA is filed under the name Lynx pardinus (Iberian lynx). Lineage: Eukaryota; Metazoa; Chordata; Mammalia; Carnivora; Felidae. The record is from RNAcentral.
GCCAGCCCCUCGAGCCAGGGCCCAGCCGGCAGCAGGCCCUCCCGGGCACCCCUCUCUUGGUUCGGGCCUGGCCGUGCCACCCCUUCAAGUCAACGCCAGUCCAGAGACCUGACUCCUCGCAUGCCUGAGACUCUCCGAGGGCCAAGCUGGCUCCCCACCCUCUCAGCCAGAAUGCCCUCAUGGGGUUAGCCCACCCUGGGUGGGGCUCCUGGGGGCUGGGGUCCUGUUUGCUCAGCCUCUAAUCCCCCAGUGCCCCCGCCCUGACUUGUGUGGGGGGAAAGGACCAGGGCCCCGAGGUGGGCUCACCCUCUCUCCCCAGCCCACCCUCAGAGGGCCUCUCCUCCCCGCCUGUCGGGAGCUCCGAUGCGGGGAGUGCCAAGCUCCCCUUCCCUGUGGUUCCCGACUAGUGUGUCCCCGAUUCCGUCUGUCAGGCAGACCCUAAACACUCCCUGGGGAGACCUGCCUCCAAGGUUUCCCCAAAUUUCAGCCUCCCUGGUGAAAUCCCCAGAACUUGCCGGGAAGGCCCGAGAACUUUCAGAGGAAACCGCCACGACUCCUCGCCAUCUGCUCUGAUUCUCUCCUGACCCCACUGCCUUGAGGUAUUAGGAAGAGGGCGGGCCUGUGUGGCAGGCUCCGUGCCGUCACCGUCCCCUUCCCCAGGCAGGCCAACAAUACUCCAAAGUGGGGCACCUCUCUUCUCUGGAAACUCUAAGACAGUGGACAGAAGGAACUAGCCUGACGUGGGCUAUGUGAAAGGCAGCAGCUGCCCGGCCCUCUGCACAGAGGCUGCUGGGGGCCAUGGCCGGGAGCCUGAGCCCCAGGGCGCCAGCCCUUCCCCUUCCGGAGCAUCUCCUGGGAAGGGCCACAGGCCCUCCCGGGCUCCACACCGGACUCGGGCAGCGUUCUUGUCUGGAGCCGGGCUGUCCCCAGGAAGCAGCUGGAGGAAGGCCAGGCUUCGGCCUGCCCUCAGUAGCAGCAGCGUCUGGCCCCUCCUGCUGUUUCUGGGGCCUUCGGAAGCACCAACCCAUUUCUCAGUUACCUCCUCUGGCCAGAAGGCCCCAGUGCUGUCCCCCAGAGCUGCUCUGGGUCCAGUGCUGGCCCCAUGAUCACCUGAUGGACGUGCCAGGCAACCAGGGCCUUGACCGCAGCCUUCCCGGCUGCCCCCCUCCCCGGCCCACCCCCAGCUGCCCGGCAGCUGGGCCCACGAGGGCUCUGGGGACGCUUCCAUAGGAAGGGGCCGGCACUUUGUGAUUGCCGCGUGUUUAGUGUUAAGUCCCCUGCCCCCAGUGCAGAUCCCUGUGUUUUGCUCUCUCCUGAACAAAAUGUAAACCGACACCUGAAAGCAAAAGGUAUCGAAUACCUUUCUUGCCCAUAAGGGUUUUUACAAAGAAUGUGUCUCACUAGGAACUAGGACACUCAUCAGCCUGAGACCAACUCCUGGAUAAAAGGAAUAAAGGAGAAUCGUGUUUGUAAUAAGUCACAGGAUUGUUUCUGUCCUGAAUUUUAAACUUUUUGUUAAAUUGUGAAAUUAUGGAGGAGUUUUAUAGAAAAAAAAAAAGUGAAAUAAAGUCAGAUGGGAAAGCAGA